GUCGAACGGAAAGGCUUUCUAUGAUCCUUCGGGUGAGUAGAAAGUACUCGAGUGGCGAAAGGGCGAGGAAUAUGUGGGUAACGUACCCCGAGCACCGGGAUAGCUGUGGGAAACUGCAGGUAAUACCGGAUGAGACCACAGUACCUUCGGGUACAGUGGUCAAAGGAUGGGGAUCUCUUCGGAGACCUAUCGGCUUGGGAGCGGCCCAUAUCCUAUCAGCUUGUUGGUAAGGUAAUGGCUUACCAAGGCAAUGACCGGUACCGGGACUGAGAGGUUGAUCCGGCGCAUUGGGACUGAGACACUGCCCAGACUCCUUCGGGAGGCUGCAGUAACGAAUAUUGGACAAUGAACGAAAGUUUGAUCCAGCGACGCCGCGUGUAGGAAGAAGUCCCUCGGGAUGUAAACUACUGUCAGGGACUACCAAGCAAUUGGGGCUAAUAUCUCCAUGCGUUGAGGAAUCCCAGAGGAAGCCACGGCUAACUUCGUGCCAGCAGCCGCGGCAAGACGAAGGUGGCGAGCGUUGUUCGGAAUCACUUGGCUUAAAGAGCACGUAGGUGGGUUGUCAAGCGUUAUGUGAAAGCCCUCGGCUUAACCGAGGAACUGCAUUGCGAACUGGCAGCCUUGAGGCAGGUAAGGGCAACUGGAACUCUUGGUGAAGCGGUGGAAUGCGUAGAUAUCAAGAGGAACGCCAGAGGCGAAGGCGAGUUGCUGGGCCUGUCCUGACACUGAGGUGCGAAAGCGUGGGUAGCGAACGGGAUUAGAUACCCCGGUAGUCCACGCCCUAAACGAUGUGAACUAGGUCGGAGGUUCUCU
This 813-nucleotide ribosomal RNA is filed under the name uncultured bacterium. RNAcentral describes it as "bacterial SSU rRNA". It matches the Rfam family "Bacterial small subunit ribosomal RNA", at positions 61 to 833 of the family's 1533-position model. The record is from RNAcentral.